GACGAACGCUGGCGGCGUGCUUAACACAUGCAAGUCGAACGGAAAGGCCCUGCUUGCAGGGUACUCGAGUGGCGAACGGGUGAGUAACACGUGGGAGAUCUGCCCUGCACUUCGGGAUAAGCCUGGGAAACUGGGUCUAAUACCGGAUAGGAGCCAUUUUUAGUGUGAUGGUUGGAAAGUUUUUUCGGUGUAGGAUGAGCUCGCGGCCUAUCAGCUUGUUGGUGGGGUAAUGGCCUACCAAGGCGGCGACGGGUAGCCGGCCUGAGAGGGUGGACGGCCACAUUGGGACUGAGAUACGGCCCAGACUCCUACGGGAGGCAGCAGUGGGGAAUAUUGCACAAUGGGCGCAAGCCUGAUGCAGCGACGCCGCGUGGGGGAUGACGGCCUUCGGGUUGUAAACUCCUUUCGCUAGGGACGAAGCUUUUUGUGACGGUACCUAGAUAAGAAGCACCGGCUAACUACGUG
This 465-nucleotide ribosomal RNA is filed under the name uncultured bacterium. RNAcentral's name for it is "partial 16S ribosomal RNA". It matches the Rfam family "Bacterial small subunit ribosomal RNA", at positions 28 to 507 of the family's 1533-position model. The record is from RNAcentral.